AUCGCUUCUCGGCCUUUUGGCUAAGAUCAAGUGUAGAUCCCUGUAGUGCAUACCAGCCAGCAGCACCUGGCAGCCAACAGCUGCCCCAAGAAUUUUUUUUUUUUUUUUUUUUUUGGUACCGGGGAUCGAACUCAGGUCCUUGCACUUGCGCAGCAGGCAGUGAAACCACU
This 170-nucleotide small nuclear RNA is filed under the name Heterocephalus glaber (naked mole-rat). RNAcentral describes it as "U2 spliceosomal RNA (ENSHGLG00100046929.1)". It matches the Rfam family "U2 spliceosomal RNA". Rfam says of the family: U2 is a small nuclear RNA (snRNA) component of the spliceosome (involved in pre-mRNA splicing). Complementary binding between U2 snRNA (in an area lying towards the 5' end but 3' to hairpin I) and the branchpoint sequence (BPS) of the intron results the bulging out of an unpaired adenosine, on the BPS, which initiates a nucleophilic attack at the intronic 5' splice site, thus starting the first of two transesterification reactions that mediate splicing. The record is from RNAcentral. Lineage: Eukaryota; Metazoa; Chordata; Mammalia; Rodentia; Bathyergidae.